UACAGAGGCCCCAAGCAUUAUCCGGAAUUACUGGGCGUAAAGGGUGCGUAGGUGGCGUGAUUAGUCCUUCUUUAAAUCUUCCAUGCUCAACGUGGAAGCUCGGAGGGAAACGGUCAUGCUCGAGGAUGUACGAGGUAUGUGGAACUCAUGGUGUAGGGGUGAAAUCCGUUGAUAUCAUGGGGAACACCGAAUGCGAAGGCAGCAUACUGGGACAUUCCUGACACUGAGGCACGAAAGCGUGGGUAGCGAAAAGG
This 254-nucleotide ribosomal RNA is filed under the name uncultured bacterium. Its description in RNAcentral is "partial 16S ribosomal RNA". It matches the Rfam family "Bacterial small subunit ribosomal RNA", at positions 524 to 776 of the family's 1533-position model. The record is from RNAcentral.